Molecule: ribosomal RNA, 253 nt
Filed under: uncultured bacterium
Lineage: Bacteria
Description: partial 16S ribosomal RNA
Rfam family: Bacterial small subunit ribosomal RNA
Source: RNAcentral
UACGGAGGGGGCUAGCGUUGUUCGGAAUUACUGGGCGUAAAGCGCACGUAGGCGGCUUUGCAAGUUAGAGGUGAAAGCCCAGGGCUCAACCCUGGAAUUGCCUUUAAAACUGCAUCGCUAGAAUUGUGGAGAGGUAAGUGGAAUUCCGAGUGUAGAGGUGAAAUUCGUGGAUAUUCGGAAGAACACCAGUGGCGAAGGCGACUUACUGGACACAUAUUGACGCUGAGGUGCGAAAGCGUGGGGAGCAAACAGG